UAAGGUCAAGGACGUGUCCUCAAAAUUCAUAAUAAAUAUCUUGCUCCGUUGUUUUGUGAAUUCUAGGUUAUUUAUCGAAGAUUUAGAGGCAUAAUAACAUGUUAGACGAUAGAAAUAUUAUACUUUGAUUAAAGAUCUAGUACCUCAACAUAAGAAUGGAACGAAAUACUAGCUCCAUACAGAAUAAUGAAGAAACACCGCUGCUGACAAGUACACUGAUGUCUACUACUCCUAAAGUGUACAAACGACGCUGGUACAUUCUUGCAGUAUUCUCAGGUCUCACUCUCAUUCAGGCAGGUGUGUGGAACUCCUGGGGACCUAUAGCAGAUACAUCAUCAUUUGUGUAUGGUUGGAAACACUCAGAUAUUGCCUUGCUUCUAAAUUGGGGACCUAUUGGAUUCUUUAUAGCAGCCGUUCCUAGCUUCUGGCUAUUAGAUGUGGCAGGUUUACGCUGGUCUGCUGUACUGGGGUCAAUAUUUGUGUGCUUAGGUACUGGAAUCAGAUGUCUGGCAUUAGACCUCCGACCAAUGCAACCAUGGUUGAUCCAUGUUGGGCAAGCAUUGAAUGCAUUAGCAGGUCCAUUGUUAUUUGCUGGCCCAGUUGUUGUCUCAGCCGUUUGGUUUCCAAUUCAUGAACAGACCAGGGCUGUUGCUAUAGGAACCACAGCUGGUACUGUUGGCAUGGCAAUGUCAUUUAUUUUAGGUCCUUUGCUGGUCAGAGACAUAGCUGUAUGCAAUCAAACCAGUAUUCCCAAACACCAGAGCCUUGGUGCAAUAUACAGAGACCCUCAGUAUGACUUUAUAGACAAUUCCACAUCACCUGUGUGUCCCAUUGUGAAUCGUACAGAUUUGACUGGAGCACGCAAAGAUAUACAGAAACUCAUGUACAUAGAAUGGUGUUACAGUGGAGUUCUCCUGCUGUUAGCUUUACUGUACUUCCCCAAACAACCCCCCACCCCACCAAGCAUAGCAGCAGGCACUCAGAGGACCAACUUCACACAAGGCUUGAAAGCCAUAGUCAAGAACAAGAAGUUCUGGCUGAUUGCAUUACCAUAUGGACUGCCCAUGGGCUUCUAUGGUGUAUGGUCCAACUUUAUAGAUGCAAUAUUAGAACCCCUUAAUAUACAGCAGGAAGAAGCUGGCUGGAUUGGUUUCUGGGCGAUCGUUGGUGGAUCUGUCACAUCUCUUAUUGUAGGAAGUUUGCUGGACUACUUCAAACACAGGCUGAAACAUGUGACUGUGGGUAUAUACAUUGGGGCCUUAGUUAGCACUGUUUGGCUCAUACUGAUCUGUAGGGAGGUUCUGCCAUUCUCAAAAGUGUGCCUGUACAUAGCCGCAAUACUUAGUGGGGGUCUUGUUAAUACCCCUCCCCCACUGCUGUAUGAGUUGGCCUGCCAGAAUAGCUACCCAAUUGGGGAAGGGGUCACUAGUGGUAUGAUGGCUAUAGUCUAUAACAUUGCCGCAAUGACUUUCCUUUUAAUUAUGAUGGUACCUUCCAUGGAUACAAGUUGGUUGAAUUUCGGCUUGUUAGGAUGUGUAUGCCUGGCUGUACCUCUUUUACUUAUUCUGAGGGAGUCUUUUAACAGGCUAGAUCUGGAUGAGAGAGCUCCUGGGACACCUAAAUCUGGCAAAUCUGGGCCCCUUGUACCCACUGUGUAACCAGAAACCCGAAAAGAUAUUCAACACAUAUUGAGUAAUGUAAAACACAAAGUAAAGCAAAUGCUUGCCAUAUGAUAACAUAUCGAAGUAUUGACGAAUGCUGGAGAAUAAGCCUGAGUAGACUUAUUGAAAGACAAAUCAGUGCUCAACUAUUUACCUCAUUUAUAAGAAAUAGUUUAUGAGGAGAGAAAUAUCCACCUUUAAAAAAACUAUUUUUAUGUGAGGUGGCACGAGAUAUUCACAUUUUAGGAGUAGUUCAUAUUGAGUGGAUAUCCAAUUGUGCUCCUAAAAUAUAAGAAAUUGUUAAGACUAUUAAGAAAUUCAAUUACUUAAAAGAAAUACAUGUGGUUGGUGAAGUGGAUAUCCACUUCAAAAAUAUUGUUCUUAUUUAUAUAGUCAUAGUUAUAUUGGGUGGAUAAUGGAUAUCCACUUCUUAGAAUUGUUUAUGAGGGAAUAUCUACAUGUAAAAUAUUGUUAUGUGUGUCAGAAAUCCGCAAAAAUAGUUUGUUGAGAGGAUAUCUAAUUCCAAAAAUAGAGUCUUUAUGUUUAUUUGUGGUAAGUAUUCAUGUCCAUACUUAACAGAGAGUGGAUAUGAAAUAUAAAUAAGGAAGUAAGAAUUCUCUUCAGACCGCAGGAGGAUAAAAAUCAUAUUUUAAUAAAACAUCACAUUUUACGAUUGUCAGCACCUUUUAUUUAAAACUAUUUUAUCCCAUUUAUAUAUUAUUUUUAGCACAAUUUCUGUUUUAUGUAUUUUAUUUACAUGAUCAGUUAUUGUUAAAGAUCUUUUAUUUCAUUUUGUACGUGUAUAUUUUAUUAAUUCAAUCUGUUUUGAAUUUUUCUCUGUUAGCAGGAACUCAAGAUCCAGAGUUUCUCAUAAUGGUACCCUACUUGGUGCAAUUUUGAAAAUCUUCAAAUUAAAGCCCAUGGGUAUUUAAUUCAAGUUCAUUUAGCAAAUGACCUUGAUUUUGUUUGAAUUUUGGUUAUAUGCAAUAUAUUAUGCAUACAAAUAUAUUAAGUAUGCACCAUCUUCCCUAGAAGUAGAAACAUAUCUUGGAUUCUUGCUAUGGAGGAUUGUAUGUCAAUCAAAAACAAAAACAACCUCAAGGGGUUCUCAGGGUACAUGCAGCUUUGGAAUAAAUAUAAUUACCUAGAGUUCAAUGUUUAUGUUGUUGUUUCCUGAUGUUGUGAAAAAACAACAGGAUCCUUGUCACAAGGCUAAUUAGUC
RNAcentral lists this unclassified non-coding RNA (2883 nucleotides) under Owenia fusiformis. RNAcentral describes it as "misc RNA OFUS_LOCUS5213". Lineage: Eukaryota; Metazoa; Annelida; Polychaeta; Sabellida; Oweniidae. The record is from RNAcentral.